This 379-nucleotide unclassified non-coding RNA is filed under the name uncultured Gammaproteobacteria bacterium. RNAcentral describes it as "contains 16S-23S intergenic spacer region". The record is from RNAcentral. Lineage: Bacteria; Pseudomonadati; Pseudomonadota; Gammaproteobacteria.
UCCGAGUUAACCCCGGCAGUCUCCCUAGAGUUCCCAUCCGAAAUGCUGGCAACUAGGGACAAGGGUUGCGCUCGUUGCGGGACUUAACCCAACAUCUCACGACACGAGCUGACGACAGCCAUGCAGCACCUGUAUCUCGGUUCCCGAAGGCACCAAUCCAUCUCUGGAGGAUUCCAUCAAUGUCAAGGGCAGGUAAGGUUCUUCGCGUUGCAUCGAAUUAAACCACAUGCUCCACCGCUUGUGCGGGUCCCCGUCAAUUCCUUUGAGUUUUAACCUUGCGGCCGUACUCCCCAGGCGGAGAACUUAUCGCGUUAGCUGCGCCACUAAGGGUUUCAAAUACCCCCAACGGCUAGUUCUCAUCGUUUAGGGCGUGGACUAC